Triticum aestivum (bread wheat) is the source of this 115-nucleotide non-coding RNA. The record is from Rfam. Lineage: Eukaryota; Viridiplantae; Streptophyta; Magnoliopsida; Poales; Poaceae.
GUACUACUCCCUCCGUUCGGAAUUACUCGUCCAAGAAAUGAAUGUAUCUAGAUGUAUUUUAGUUGUAGAUACAUCCAUUUUUGUGACAAGUAAUUCCGAACGGAGGAAGUACUAG